AAUAUUGUACAAUGGGGGCAACCCUGAUCCAGCCAGGCCGCGUGUGUGAAGAAUGUCUUCGGUUUGUAACUCACUUUAAGUUGGGAGGAAGGGCUUUAGGUUAAUACCCUGAAGUUUUGACGAUACAAACAGAAUAAGCACCGGCUAAAUCUGGGCUAGCAGUCUCGGUAAUACAGAGGGUGCAGGCGUUAAUCGGAAUGACUGGGCGUAAAGCGCGCGCAGGUGGUUCAGUAAGAUAGGUGUGAAAUCACCGGGCUUAACCAGGCCACUGCUUUCAUAACUGCUGAGCUAGAGUACGGUAGAGAGUAGUGGAAUUUCCUGUGUAGCGGUGAAAUGCGUAGAUAUAGGAAGGAACAACAGUGGCGAAGGAGACUACCUGGACUGAUACUGACACUGAGGUGCGAAAGCGUGGGGAGCAAACA
Molecule: ribosomal RNA, 422 nt
Filed under: uncultured bacterium
Lineage: Bacteria
Description: partial 16S ribosomal RNA
Rfam family: Bacterial small subunit ribosomal RNA
Source: RNAcentral